CGCUGGCGGCGUGCCUAACACAUGCAAGUCGAGCGGAGUCAGUAAGAGGAAGUUUCGGAUGGAAUCUUGUUGAUUUAGCGGCGGACGGGUGAGUAACGCGUGAGCGACCAACCUUGCACAGGGGGAUAACGGACCGAAAGGUUCACUAAUACCGCAUGAGACCACGGUGUUGCAUGACACAGAGGUCAAAGGAGCAAUCCGGUGCAAGACGGGCUCGCGUCCGAUUAGGUAGUUGGAGGGGUAACGGCCCACCAAGCCUAUGAUCGGUAGCCGACCUGAGAGGGUGAUCGGCCACAUUGGAACUGAGAUACGGUCCAAACUCCUACGGGAGGCAGCAGUGGGGAAUAUUGGGCAAAUGGGGGAAACCCUGACCCAGCAACGCCGCGUGAAGGAAGAAGGUUUUCGGAUUGUAAACUUCUGUCCUUGGUGAAGAGAAGAAGACGGUAGCCAAGGAGGAAGCCCCGGCUAACUACGUGCCAGCCGCUGC
Molecule: ribosomal RNA, 487 nt
Filed under: uncultured bacterium
Lineage: Bacteria
Description: bacterial SSU rRNA
Rfam family: Bacterial small subunit ribosomal RNA
Source: RNAcentral